This is a long non-coding RNA of Drosophila miranda, 2241 nucleotides long. RefSeq lists it as uncharacterized. The record is from RefSeq and is a predicted model, not a curated record. NCBI's taxonomy places the organism in Eukaryota, Metazoa, Arthropoda, Insecta, Diptera, Drosophilidae. The transcript is spliced from 8 exons.
CCAUGGAUGCACAGUUCAUAAAAAUACGAAUCAACGCAAAAUUCAAAAGAAAAUUUGAAACAAGCAAUCCAUGCCCCACAAAACCCCAGAUGUCAAAUUCGUCGUCGUGUGAGAAUACUGGAAAAAUAUCAGUAUAGUUCGGAGCGUCGGAAGUUAAACACAUAAAAAUAAAAUUCUAAAUUUCAAAAUUUUGUAAAAUAUUUAUUUCGGUUUUUAAUUUCGGUUUUUUUUUUCAAUUAGGUUUAAGCAUAAAAGUGAUUAGUUUUUUUUAGUUUUUAAAGUUAAGCAUAAAGUGAAAGUCGUACAAAAUAAUAAUACUUCCCCAAGAUACACAAGGCAUACAAAUACUUCUGCAAGAUCCAUCCAAGACACAUCUGUUGAUUGUUUCACAAGAGCCGCAAGCAGAGAGUCCAUAUUCAUAAAUACCUGGCAAAAAAAAAACUACAAAACAUACGGCUGUAAACUGUGGUGGCACAAGAAGAUACAAUUAUACUUCAUUUUACCGCUUUUCUACACAAACCUACAUAAAUACGGACACUCUACGUCCAUAUUCAUAAAUACCUGGCGAAAAGAAAACUACAAAUCGUACGGCUGUAAACUGUGGCGGCGCAAUGAGGUACAACACGGCUUCUUCGGAUAGUUUUUCUACACAAACCUACAUAAAUACGGGCAUCUGAUGAAUCUGGGGGCUCCGAGUAGAAUCGCAAGUAGAACCAAUACUUUGUUUUGACACUGAUUCUGCUAUCGGAAAUUAGAUACUGUGGUUAUCGGGUGAAUGGAUAGGAAUAUUAUAUUUUGCUACUAAUAAUUAUAUUACUCGUGAUUAUAUUUUGAUACUAAAACACACAAAGAUGUUUAAUUGUUUGACUGAACCAGAAUGGGGUAGGACUCUAAAAGUUUCCAGCAAAAUGCUGAUUUACUUUCGGGGACAUGCAUUGAAUAUCCCCAUUCCCCUUUUGGAAAAUUUUCCACAACUAAGAAUUCUUUUCGAUAUACUCGCAGAUGUAUAAAACCCCCGAGGGCAUGCUAUUAUUCAAGAUUUCAUCUUUAGUUUUACAAAUAUUUCCAGUAAACACAUGUACGUGUGUAUGUAUAUAUGAAUAUGUAUACUAUUACGACAAACAAUAUAUAAAUAUGGGAAUAUGGAUUAAACCUAGAACUUGUUGUUGGGAAUGACUCAUCCCUCGGCAGCAACGGGUACGUUGAGGACGGGCUUUGCCUCCAGAGCUGGUUCCUGGGCAGGCUGUGACUGGACGAGCACCUUGGUGGGCAGGAGAUGCUUGAGGGGCUCUAGGAUGCGCGCCUGCUGCAGAUAGGUGAGCUGCUGCUGCUCCAGCUGCAGGAGGCUGAUGCCCAGGUGAACGGUGAGCGACUGGGGCGGGAAGAUGCCAUGGAUGCACAGUUCAUAAAAAUACGAAUCAACGCAAAAUUCAAAAGAAAAUUUGAAACAAGCAAUCUAUGCCCCACAAAACCCCAGAUGUCAAAUUCGUCGUCGUGUGAGAAUACUGGAAAAAUAUCAGUAUAGGUCGGAGCGUCGGAAGUUAAACACAUAAAAAUAAAAUUCUUAAUUUCAAAAUUUUGUAAAAUAUUUAUUUCGGUUUUUAAUUUCGGUUUUUUUUUUUCAAUUAGGUUUAAGCAUAAAAGUGAUUAGUUUUUUUUAGUUUUUAAAGUUAAGCAUAAAGUGAAAGUCGUACAAAAUAAUAAUACUUCCCCAAGAUACACAAGGCAUAAAAAUACUUCUCCAAGAUCCAUCCAAGACACAUCUGUUGAUUGUUUCACAAGAGCCGCAAGCAGAUAGUCCAUAUUCAUAAAUACCUGGCAAAAAAAAAAAUACAAAACAUACGGCUGUAAACUGUGCUGGCACAAGAAGAUACAAUUAUACUUCAUUUGACCGCUUUUCUACACAAACCUACAUAAAUACGGACACUCUACGUCCAUAUUCAUAAAUACCUGGCGAAAAGAAAACUACAAAUCGUACGGCUGUAAACUGUGGCGGCGCAAUGAGAUACAACACGGCUUCUUCGGAUAGUUUUUCUACACAAACCUACAUAAAUACGGGCAUCUGAUGAAUCUGGGGGCUCCGAGUAGAAUCGCAAGUAGAACCAAUACUUUGUUUUGACACUAAGAUUCGGCUAUCGGAAAUUAGAUACUGUGGUUAUCGGGUGAAUGGAUAGGAAUAUUAUAUUUUGCUACUAAUAAUUAUAUUACUCGUGAUUAUAUUUUGAUACUAAAACACACAAA